RNAcentral lists this ribosomal RNA (166 nucleotides) under Brachypterum scandens. RNAcentral describes it as "Solori scandens 5.8S ribosomal RNA". It matches the Rfam family "5.8S ribosomal RNA". From Rfam's summary of the family: 5.8S ribosomal RNA (5.8S rRNA) is a component of the large subunit of the eukaryotic ribosome. It is transcribed by RNA polymerase I as part of the 45S precursor that also contains 18S and 28S rRNA. Lineage: Eukaryota; Viridiplantae; Streptophyta; Magnoliopsida; Fabales; Fabaceae. The record is from RNAcentral.
CACAAAAUGACUCUCGGCAACGGAUAUCUCGGCUCUUGCAUCGAUGAAGAACGUAGCGAAAUGCGAUACUUGGUGUGAAUUGCAGAAUCCCGUGAACCAUCGAGUCUUUGAACGCAAGUUGCGCCCGAAGUCGUGAGGCUGAGGGCACGCCUGCCUGGGUGUCACA